Molecule: transfer RNA, 72 nt
Filed under: Kraemeria cunicularia (transparent sand dart)
Lineage: Eukaryota; Metazoa; Chordata; Actinopteri; Gobiiformes; Kraemeriidae
Description: tRNA-Thr
Rfam family: tRNA
About the family: Transfer RNA (tRNA) molecules are approximately 80 nucleotides in length. Their secondary structure includes four short double-helical elements and three loops (D, anti-codon, and T loops). Further hydrogen bonds mediate the characteristic L-shaped molecular structure. tRNAs have two regions of fundamental functional importance: the anti-codon, which is responsible for specific mRNA codon recognition, and the 3' end, to which the tRNAs corresponding amino acid is attached (by aminoacyl-tRNA synthetases). tRNAs cope with the degeneracy of the genetic code in two manners: having more than one tRNA (with a specific anti-codon) for a particular amino acid; and 'wobble' base-pairing, i.e. permitting non-standard base-pairing at the 3rd anti-codon position.
Source: RNAcentral
GCUGCAGUAGCUCAGCGCCAGAGCGCCGGCCUUGUAAGCCGGACGUCGGAGGCUCAAACCCCCCCUGCCGCC